This is a long non-coding RNA of Heterocephalus glaber (naked mole-rat), 629 nucleotides long. RefSeq lists it as uncharacterized. The record is from RefSeq and is a predicted model, not a curated record. Lineage: Eukaryota; Metazoa; Chordata; Mammalia; Rodentia; Bathyergidae.
GACACCUUGAUCUUGGACUUCCAGACUGCACAACAGUGAGACAUUCCAUUUCUGCUGUUUAAGCCUCCCAACUGUCAUUUUGCCAUGGAGGCCUAGCAAGCUGACAUGCUCUGUGGGCAGGUCUGCUUCACCUUCUGAAAAGAUAACUUUCUUCAGUUGCUGAGUGAACAGCAGGCAACAGAGAGGCAAGCACCCCAGUCUAGUGCAGCAGCCUGAAAGGCAGAUGGGGACCCUGCCGAGGGUCCUCCACAUUGAUGGGCAGGAUGUUAAAGGAAAAUGAAGGAGGAAAGCAAGGAAGAAAGGAAAAGUGGGAGAGACAGAAGACUGCAUGAAGCCCUGGAAAUGACAUCGCAUUUCAUCCUCACGUAAUCCUGGGGAAGGAGAUCAACACCAUCAGAGCAAAGCAAAACCCGGAUUUAGCGAUAACUGGAGCGACAUGAAAGAAAUAAAACUGCCGGGGAUGUUUAGUGGAACAAGAGGAAGCCCUGAGCCAGCAGUGUGAACAGCAGCCUCGAUUUCCUCUUGGCUCUCGGGGUCUCCCCUGCCCUCUCUCUGUAAACAAAAUCCAGACACACUUGUGGGACUAGUAGGCUAUGGAAAAUACAUUUAAAAUGACAACCGUAAAUAAA